GUAAGUAAUUUUCCUUCAAAACGGGGAUAGCAUCGUGAAAACGGUGGUAAUACCCGAUAAUAUAAGUGAUCCGCAUGGAUUUCUUAUUAAAGACGGGGACCGCAAGGCCUGUCGUUUGGAGAUGAGCUUGCGUACCAUCAGCUAGUUGGUAGGGUAACGGCCUACCAAGGCUUAGACGGUUAGCUGGUCUGAGAGGACGACCAGCCACAUUGGGACUGAGACACUGCCCAGACUCCUACGGGAGGCUGCAGUCGAGAAUAUUUAGCAAUGGACGAAAGUCUGACUAUGCGACGCCGCGUGCAGGAUGAAGGUCUUCGGAUUGUAAACUGCUUUUGUUAGGGGAGAAACCUGUAUCAUUAAUAGUGGUACAGCUGACGGUACCUGACGAAUAAGCCACGGCAAACUCCGUGCCAGCAGCCGCGGUAAUACGGAGGUGGCAAGCGUUACUCGGAAUUAUUGGGUGUAAAGGGCAGGUAGGUGGUCUUGCAAGUGAGAGGUGAAAUCCCACGGUUCAAUCGUGGAACUGCCUUUCAAACUGCUUGACUUGAGAGUGUUAGGGGAGAAUGGAAUUCCCGGUGU
This 579-nucleotide ribosomal RNA is filed under the name uncultured organism. Its description in RNAcentral is "bacterial SSU rRNA". It matches the Rfam family "Bacterial small subunit ribosomal RNA", at positions 117 to 676 of the family's 1533-position model. The record is from RNAcentral.